RNAcentral lists this microRNA precursor (97 nucleotides) under Marmota monax (woodchuck). The record is from RNAcentral. Lineage: Eukaryota; Metazoa; Chordata; Mammalia; Rodentia; Sciuridae.
ACAGGACUCACCCAGGCAGCUUGUCAAAAUGCAGAUUCUGACCCAGGAGGUCAGGGUUUGGGAUUCUGCAUUUCUAUCAGCUUCCAGGGAUGUUGAU